AUUUUUAAGAGUUUGAUUCUGGCUCAAAAAUAACGUUCGCGGAAUGUAUAAGCCAUGCAAGUCGAACGAAAAAAGGUAGCAAUACCUUUUUUAGUGGCGCACGAGUUAGUAAAGCAUAGGUUAUCUGCCGUUUGGUUCGGAAUAUAAUAGGGAAAUCUAUUGCAAUACCGGAUAUGUAUUUGUAAAUUCGUUUACAAAUAUAAAAGAGGCCUUGAGGUUCGCAAGAAUCUUUGGUUUCGCCAGAUGAUGAGCCUAUGUCGUAUUAGUUAGUUGGUGUGGUAAUGGCACACCAAGACUAUGAUGCGUAGCUAGCCUGAGAGGGUGUUUAGCAACUGUGACACUGAGAUACGGGUCACACUCCUACGGGGGGCUGCAGGCGAGAAACAUCUGCAAUGGGGGAAACCCUGACAGUGCGAUUCCGCGUGCCGGAUGAAGGUCUAAGGAUCGUAAACGGCUGUUUUAAAGGAAGAAGAGCAAUUGUAACAAAAUGCAAUUGCUUUGACAAUAAUUUAAAAGAAAGUCACGACUAACGGCGUGCCAGCAGUCGCGGUAAUACGUCGGUGGCUAACGUUUUUUGUAAUUACUGGGCGUAAAGGAUGCGUAGGCGGUUUUUUAAGUUUAUAGUGAAAUCUUAGAGCUUAACUCUAUUGAGCUAUAAAAACUGAAAAACUAGAGAACAAGGGGGAAAAAUAGAAUUAUGCAAGUAGAGAUGAAAUUCGUAGAUAUGCAUAAGAAUACCAGAGGCGAAGGCGAUUUUUUACUUUGAUUCUGACGUUGAGGCAUGAAAGUCUGGGGAGCGACGAGGAUUAGAUACCCUCUUAGUCCAGACCGUAAACGAUGAUAACUAGGCAUUUUUUAAAAAAGUGUUCACAGCUAACGCGCAAGUUAUCCGCCUGAAGAGUACAGCCGCAAGGCAGAAACUCAAAGAAAUUGACGGGGGCCAAAACAAGUUGUGGAUUAUGUGGUUUAAUUCGAAGCAACGCGCAAUACCUUACCAGUUCUUAACAAAUGCGAUAAAUGGUCCAGAGAUGGAC
This 1034-nucleotide ribosomal RNA is filed under the name Bacilli bacterium. RNAcentral describes it as "partial 16S ribosomal RNA". It matches the Rfam family "Bacterial small subunit ribosomal RNA", at positions 1 to 1011 of the family's 1533-position model. The record is from RNAcentral. Lineage: Bacteria; Bacillati; Bacillota; Bacilli.